RNAcentral lists this ribosomal RNA (553 nucleotides) under uncultured bacterium. RNAcentral describes it as "bacterial SSU rRNA". It matches the Rfam family "Bacterial small subunit ribosomal RNA", at positions 79 to 634 of the family's 1533-position model. The record is from RNAcentral.
UGCAGGGUGCUGACGAGCGGCGGACGGGUGAGUAACACGUAGGAACCUGACCUUUAGAGGGGGACAACCAAGGGAAACUUUGGCUAAUACCGCGUAAUCUCGAAAGAGUAAAGUUGCCGCAAGGUAACGCUAAAGGAGGGGCCUGCGUCCGAUUAGCUAGCUGGUGAGGUAAGAGCUCACCAAGGCGAUGAUCGGUAACUGGUCUGAGAGGACGACCAGUCACACUGGGACUGAGACACGGCCCAGACUCCUACGGGAGGCAGCAGUGGGGAAUAUUGGACAAUGGGGGCAACCCUGAUCCAGCGAUGCCGCGUGAGUGAAGAAGGCCUUCGGGUCGUAAAGCUCUUUAGGUUGGGAAGAAGUGUGCUAGAGGAUAAUUCUAGUACGUUGACGGUACCGACAGAAUAAGCACCGGCAAACUCUGUGCCAGCAGCCGCGGUAAUACAGAGGGUGCAAGCGUUAAUCGGAGUUACUGGGCGUAAAGGGCGCGUAGGCGGUUUAAUGUGUGUGAUGUGAAAGCCCUGGGCUUAACCUGGGAAGUGCAUCGCAAACU